UAGAUUCCAGAGAAUCUAUCUUAUCAUAAAUAACUUCUUGCCACAAAUCUGCAUCCAGAGAAGACAAGACUUCUUGAAUAUUUAUAGGAUUUCCUUCUACAUUAUAAUUCGCAUAAUCAGGCCCAUGGUCUUUAGCAACUCUUACUAUUUUUCUUCGUCGAAGUUCUAUUUCUACUUCGUUGUUGCUUUCAGUGUUUCUUAUUACAAGAGUGUGAUUCGAU
Molecule: long non-coding RNA, 221 nt
Filed under: Lathyrus oleraceus (garden pea)
Lineage: Eukaryota; Viridiplantae; Streptophyta; Magnoliopsida; Fabales; Fabaceae
Description: Pisum sativum (pea) long non-coding RNA (PSAT_LNC034182)
Source: RNAcentral